AUCCUUCAGGUUCUGUAACGUGAUGAAUGGGGAGUUCACGCGCGCAUGCGUGAAAUGUGCCGUCCCAAUUGUUACGACGGGGCACAGUACCCUUCUGAAC
Sceloporus undulatus (fence lizard) is the source of this 100-nucleotide small nucleolar RNA. RefSeq annotates it as small nucleolar RNA U13. The record is from RefSeq and is a predicted model, not a curated record. The transcript has a single exon. Lineage: Eukaryota; Metazoa; Chordata; Lepidosauria; Squamata; Phrynosomatidae.